AUCUAUGGCCACGCUACCCUGAACAAGCCCGAUUCCAUCUGAUCUCGGAAGCUAAGCAGGCUCAGGCCUAGUUAGUACUUAGAUGGGAGACCAACUAGGAAGACCAGGUGCUGUAUGCG
Molecule: ribosomal RNA, 119 nt
Filed under: Pteropus alecto (black flying fox)
Lineage: Eukaryota; Metazoa; Chordata; Mammalia; Chiroptera; Pteropodidae
Source: RNAcentral